RNAcentral lists this ribosomal RNA (253 nucleotides) under uncultured bacterium. RNAcentral describes it as "partial 16S ribosomal RNA". It matches the Rfam family "Bacterial small subunit ribosomal RNA", at positions 524 to 776 of the family's 1533-position model. The record is from RNAcentral.
UACGAAGGGGACUAGCGUUGUUCGGAAUCACUGGGCGUAAAGCGCACGUAGGCGGAUUUGUAAGUCAGGGGUGAAAUCCCGGGGCUCAACCUCGGAACUGCCUUUGAUACUGCGAAUCUAGAGUCCGAUAGAGGUGGGUGGAAUUCCCGGUGUAGAGGUGAAAUUCGUAGAUAUCGGGAGGAACACCGGUGGCGAAGGCGGCGACCUGGGUCGAGACUGACGCUGAGGCGCGAAAGCGUGGGGAGCAAACAGG